GUAGGUGGCAAGCGUUGUCCGGAAUUAUUGGGCGUAAAGCGCGCGCAGGCGGUUCUUUAAGUCUGAUGUGAAAGCCCACGGCUCAACCGUGGAGGGUCAUUGGAAACUGGAGAACUUGAGUACAGAAGAGGAAAGCGGAAUUCCACGUGUAGCGGUGAAAUGCGUAGAGAUGUGGAGGAACACCAGUGGCGAAGGCGGCUUUCUGGUCUGUAACUGACGCUGAGGCGCGAAAGCGUGGGGAGCAAACAGGAUUAGAUACCCUGGUAGUCCACGCCGUAAACGAUGAGUGCUAAGUGUUAGGGGGUUUCCGCCCCCCCCUAGUGCUGCAGCUAACGCAUUAAGCACUCCGCCUGGGAGUACGGCCGCAAGGCUG
Molecule: ribosomal RNA, 373 nt
Filed under: uncultured organism
Description: partial 16S ribosomal RNA
Rfam family: Bacterial small subunit ribosomal RNA
Source: RNAcentral